RNAcentral lists this ribosomal RNA (179 nucleotides) under uncultured bacterium. RNAcentral describes it as "partial 16S ribosomal RNA". It matches the Rfam family "Bacterial small subunit ribosomal RNA", at positions 1321 to 1500 of the family's 1533-position model. The record is from RNAcentral.
UGAAGCUGGAAUUGNUAGUAAUGGCAGGUCAGCAUACUGCCGUGAAUACAUUCCCGGGCCUUGUACACACCGCCCGUCACACCAUGAGAGUUGGGAAUACCCGAAGCCUGUGAGCUAACUUAUAGAGGCAGCAGUCGAAGGUAGAAUCAAUGAUUGGGGUGAAGUCGUAACAAGGUAAC